UAAGCACUGUGUUUGGUAUUUUCAAUUUUUCGUUUCUCUGACUCGUCGCUUUCACUCAAUUUAUAGUUUUAUUUCAGAUUUUUUAUUUUUGGAUUUGAUCCUUUAUUUACACGGAGAUAGAGCUUGAGUCCAUUGGCUAACAGGACAUAACUGACAUCAGGUGGCAGAAGUGAUUUAACUUUUUUAUUUUCACACUGUCAUCCUCCCUCUGAUGUGGCAUACAGAAGUGAUGAUGCUCUUUUUAGACUUGAGGCUGGACUUACUGUUAGUGCUUCUGUGGUUUUGGAUGAGUCAGCGCCCGGAGGUCAAAGCAGCUUCCUGUGUGGCUCCAGAGGAUGGAUGAAGGAGGAGUAAAGCUGGGAGUAAAUCAGAUGGGUGAACGGCCGCGGUGACACAUGCCGAGGUUCUCCACGUGUUCCUCAGGCCGUUCCCUGAGCGGUUCUUGCGGCUCUCACUCUCGGAGCGGCUGCGCCGGUUCUUGGCAGGCCCGCUCGCUGGCUCGACUGUAGUGCUUCCAGGAGUCAGCCAGCCCGGGCAGAUGGAGUUCAGCUUUUCCAGACGAGAUAAAACUCUGCUGCGAACAGGCGGCCCCGGUGGGCAGGCAGCGGUCGCCACAGCUGGGAGGGAAACACCCUCCCUGCGGCUUCCCUCUCAUGACAAAUAUUAAAGACCUGGCUUUUGCUUUCUGGCCGUUUGUGCUGCUUUUUAUUGGAGUUUCAUUUUGUGGUGGAGGAGUCUGUUUUUAGUUUGAUAUCUGCAAGCGCCUCGUCGGAUCCAGACGCAAAUAAGUAAAUUAAAAAUGCUGAUCAGGUGAUGUAUGCAUUUCUACAAAAGUUUUCCUUUUUUUGCAAAAGGUGGCUCAUUUUUUCAUCCCUUUUGUUUCAUAAAGUCAUUAAAGAUUACAGAAAUGGCAGCUUCAUCUGGCUCCGCAUGAUCAUUUCUAAGCGAGUAUCUGUAAAAUAUUGUUAAAUAAAAGUUAUUUCAUUGAAUUACUUCCCAAUUUGAAAACCUACUUUAAUCCUGAUCAAUUUAAAAAGAGUUCCUAGCGAUCUUUUAAUUACUUUUAUGCUGUUUUUUGUGUCAAAAUUAAAUGAAAAAAUGUUUUCUAGGACAUAGUUUCUGCAGAGCGGCAGUAGCUCAUUCUUAAUUCAUCUCUGAGUUGUGGGCGCCCCUACUUCCCUUCAUCCAUCUGUUUACAGUCCCACUAGCUUACAGCCCCCCACAACCCAAACCUAAUAAAAAAAAUCUGCAAACAACAAGCUGAAUUUUUCCUUCUGUUCCAAAUUCAUAACAAAAAAAAAAAAAAUUUUUAAGAUCAAAUUUCUUUAUAUAUGUCAUGCAUGAUGAGAAAAAUGGUACAGGAACAUGUAAAAACACAAUUUCUUAAAAGCACUCAAAUGCAGUGCCGGCCCUGAGCAUAGGCGGCCGCCUUGGGGGCUAUCAGCUGGAGGACACCAAAUUGAAAUGAUUAUUAUUUUAUUUUAUUUUUUUACAGUUUAACACGCCACUCAUUUUGUGUAAAAAAAAAAAUAAAAAAAAAAAAA
Oryzias melastigma (Indian medaka) is the source of this 1544-nucleotide long non-coding RNA. RefSeq lists it as uncharacterized. The record is from RefSeq and is a predicted model, not a curated record. NCBI's taxonomy places the organism in Eukaryota, Metazoa, Chordata, Actinopteri, Beloniformes, Adrianichthyidae. The transcript is spliced from 3 exons.